Scylla paramamosain (green mud crab) is the source of this 2653-nucleotide long non-coding RNA. RefSeq lists it as uncharacterized. The record is from RefSeq and is a predicted model, not a curated record. NCBI's taxonomy places the organism in Eukaryota, Metazoa, Arthropoda, Malacostraca, Decapoda, Portunidae. The transcript is spliced from 3 exons.
UGGGGGUGGGGGAGGAGGCGGAGCAAAUGACUGGGCAGUCAGCCGGAGCCUUUCGUCAUGCGUUCGUCACACAGAUAUACAGAGUGGUGGCUCGUGCUGUGUACACCCAUGGAGGCUGAAAAUCCUCCAGUCAUGUAUAAAGGUCAGCAUAAAUCCAAGCAGGGAAAAUAGAAUGUUGGACAAGUUCUUGUGCUUUCUGAUGGUGCACUGACUACCCCAACUUGAACAUCUGUGGGUUGGCGCCACACAGUCUCUGCACUGCCUCUACUGUCAGUGGGGUGUCUGAAAGCUGUCAACUUACCCAUCUGGAACCAGGAGUCAUCCCCAUUCUCUGCUCUGAAGGCGGUUAUGGCUUGGCGCAGAGCAGAAACUACUGCAUAGGAGAGGCAGAGAGGAGGCUCCCCAGUAGCUGAAGAGGAAUUUUAAAGAUAUUAAAUUCACCAUAUGGACAAUUGCAUAAAGGAUGUGCAUCUGGGUGCUGGUGGGUGAGGGAAGGAUCUCUCAUACACAAAUGUAAGAGGCUGUACUGAUAACGGUCAGAUAAUGGCAAUAAUGCUUGUUUGAGAAAGUUGACAGCUAACUCUCUUUGUUUGUCAGCUUUUCUCCCACAAGUUUGCUAUGAUGUACUAACUUUGUGCUUUGUACUUCCAUAUUAUCUACCACAACUCAGCUCAUACACUAGUUAAGGAAUUUUGUUUGAUAGUUAUAAGCAAUAGUAAUUGCAUUAUGUAAAACAAAGAAAUUCCCAUUUGCAGCAGCUAUGGGAAGAAAAAGAAAUCUGAAAAUUUUGUGUACGAGUUUUCAUAAAAAGCUGUACAUGGAGAUGGAAAUGUUUAAAGGCACUUCACCUCAUACCUCACAUCUUUAUAAGCAGUUGCAUGCUUCACUUAAAUGGCACUUUCAUGUGAAAAAUAUAAAAUAUUGUGUUUGGGAAACUAAUAAAGUGUAAGUAUUAAUUCUAUAGCUGCAGCAGAUGGCAGCCACAUAGGGAGCUUGAAUCUGUUCUCUGACUUGAACUUUUCACUCUUGUUUUCCUCUUGUUUUCUCUUUUCUUAUUUUUUGAGGUCUGUCUCAGGCAGGUCAGAACAAUAGUUUUUUUUUUUGCCAUUAUUUUCACUACAACUAAGGCAUUAGGUCCAUUGAAAGAACUGAAACCCAAUGUCAGCAAUGACCUGACUGUAUAUUUUGGGAUAUGAUAAUUUGAUUCUUUCUUAAAAAAUUGCAUUUUUGUUUUACUUUGUCAAAUAUAAGACUUAAAUGUGCAACAGGCUGCAUUGUAUGUAAUAGUGAUGCCUGUUCAUUGGCAAUUAGCCUCUUAUUAACAUUCAUUAGCACAAUCUAGGCAUACAGUUUUUUGCAGAAAAGUUAAUUUGACAGAUAAAAUCUUCAUGCUUGCUAAAUAAAGACCAUGUAAUAAUACUGCGGCAGUUGAUUACAGUAUAUAUGUGCCAACUCUUGGUUUCUGGCAGCAAGUGUCAAUCAACUGAGCACAGGAGAAAGAAAAAAAUAAAUAAUUUGAUAACUUUCUGUAAAGAUUUAUGUACCUAUUAUCUAUCUGUAUACCAGGCUGGCAGUCUCAUAUGGGAUGGUGCACCACACAUUCACACACACAUGUGUGGAAAGGACAGUCUUGUGGCCCAACACACUAUCUCUCAGGAGUCUAGACACAUCACAACUGGCCUCGCACAUCCACAGCAAGAACAAACAGCAUACACUGGUUUUACCCCUGCCCCUUCAAAGAAACCUCCCUACCCUACACCUACUCCAGUCCUGUUUGAAACCUCCCUACCCUACACCUACUCCAGUCCUGGAGACCAAAGAAUGUACAGGGUACUUCCUACAGAGCACUCUACAUUUUAACUGGGUUUGUGUGUCCAUGGGGCCUGCUAAGUGCAACCACACCCCUUCCCAAGGGUUGAGAGACCACAUCAUUUUCAUGCAUUCACCAUUGUUGCUUUCCAUUCACCUCUAUCAUGCACAAUCACUCUUGAAAUAUGCAAAUAAAGAUUUAUUUCCACCACAAAAGGCUAACUGACAACAUGCACUCAAGUAGGGUAGCUAACACAACACAGCUCACCAUACAUUUAAAUCUUGAAAACAGUUUUUAACAUAACACCAAAAAAUAUGUAUUCAGUAUUUUUUAAUUACUUGAAUGAUUAUAUCCUGAACAAUGAACCAUGACUUUUGGUAACCUGUAGUAUGUAGUGUCUUGGAGAGAUAAAGCUUUAGUUGCUAUCAAUUCAAUAAUGAUAUACUGUUGUUUAUAAAACAGAUAGGAGAAUGGGGAACCAGAUUAUCUAAAGGAGGGAUGGGCUUGGAAAAAUUUCUACUUGUAGGGCCGGGGAUCUAACCAGUUACUUUUAUUUACCCCAAUGAAAGUAAUCAUACUGGAUUUCAAUGUCAAGGGGAUUAAAAUGAGGUAACUGAGAAUAUUUAGUACAAUUAAAAGUUCUCAAUUUUUUUUUUUUUUAUAUAUAUUUACAAUUUAGCAUUGCCCUUGUAUUCACACCUUACCUUUGGAGCCAAGAACACCAUACGGUUGCUUGGCAUUGGGAAGUAGGGUUAUUCUCAAGUCUGCUGGGAUAUCCAGGGCUGUUGGUGGCUUGUAUUCCUGAAAGAUAUUGUACUUCCAAGUAAAUUUUCACCUAAUUUA